RNAcentral lists this ribosomal RNA (444 nucleotides) under uncultured bacterium. RNAcentral describes it as "bacterial SSU rRNA". It matches the Rfam family "Bacterial small subunit ribosomal RNA", at positions 331 to 792 of the family's 1533-position model. The record is from RNAcentral.
CCAGACUCCUACGGGAGGCAGCAGUAGGGAAUAUUGCUCAAUGGGGGAAACCCUGAAGCAGCAACGCCGCGUGGAGGAUGAAGGUUUUAGGAUUGUAAACUCCUUUUGUUAGAGAAGAUUAUGACGGUAUCUAACGAAUAAGCACCGGCUAACUCCGUGCCAGCAGCCGCGGUAAUACGGAGGGUGCAAGCGUUACUCGGAAUCACUGGGCGUAAAGAGUGCGUAGGCGGGGUAAUAAGUCAGAUGUGAAAUCCUGUAGCUUAACUACAGAACUGCAUUUGAAACUGUUACUCUGGAGUGUGGGAGAGGUAGGUGGAAUUCUUGGUGUAGGGGUAAAAUCCGUAGAGAUCAAGAGGAAUACUCAUUGCGAAGGCGACCUGCUGGAACAUUACUGACGCUGAUGCACGAAAGCGUGGGGAGCAAACAGGAUUAGAUACCCGAGUA